RNAcentral lists this ribosomal RNA (494 nucleotides) under uncultured bacterium. RNAcentral's name for it is "bacterial SSU rRNA". It matches the Rfam family "Bacterial small subunit ribosomal RNA", at positions 903 to 1397 of the family's 1533-position model. The record is from RNAcentral.
AAAUGAAUAGACGGGGGCCCGCACAAGCGGUGGAGCAUGUGGUUUAAUACGUCACUAACCGUAGAACCUUACCCAGGCUUGACAUCCAGGGAAUCCUGAUGAAAGUCGGGAGUGCCUUUUGGAGCCCUGAGACAGGUGUUGCAUGGCUGUCGUCAGCUCGUGUCGUGAGAUGUUGGGUUAAGUCCCGCAACGAGCGCAACCCUCAUCCGAUGUUGCCAGCGUAGAGUCGGGAACUCUUCGGAAACUGCCCGUGUAAGCGGGAGGAAGGUGGGGAUGACGUCAAGUCAGCAUGGCCCUUACGCCUGGGGCUACACACAUGCUACAAUGGACGCUAACAAAGGGCAGCAAUACCGCGAGGUGGAGCGAAUCUCAAAAAUGCGUCCUCAGUUCGGAUUGUAGUCUGCAACUCGACUACAUGAAGUCGGAAUCGCUAGUAACCGCAGGUCAGCUAAACUGCGGUGAAUACGUUCCCGGGCCUUGUACACACCGCCCGU